This 350-nucleotide ribosomal RNA is filed under the name uncultured fungus. RNAcentral describes it as "SSU rRNA". It matches the Rfam family "Eukaryotic small subunit ribosomal RNA", at positions 20 to 370 of the family's 1831-position model. Lineage: Eukaryota; Fungi. The record is from RNAcentral.
GUAGUCAUAUGCUUGUCUCAAAGAUUAAGCCAUGCAUGUCUAAGUAUAAACAACUUUGUACUGUGAAACUGCGAAUGGCUCAUUAAAUCAGUUAUAGUUUAUUUGAUUAUACCUUACUACUUGGAUAACCGUGGUAAUUCUAGAGCUAAUACAUGCUAAAAAUCCCGACUUCUGGAAGGGAUGUAUUUAUUAGAUAAAAAACCAAUGCGGGCAACCGCUUUUCUGGUGAUUCAUAAUAACUUUUCGAAUCGCAUGGCCUUGAGCUGGCGAUGUUUCAUUCAAAUUUCUGCCCUAUCAACUUUCGACGGUAGGAUAGAGGCCUACCAUGGUUUCAACGGGUAACGGGGAAU